Long non-coding RNA from Strongylocentrotus purpuratus (purple sea urchin), 405 nucleotides. RefSeq lists it as uncharacterized. Lineage: Eukaryota; Metazoa; Echinodermata; Echinoidea; Camarodonta; Strongylocentrotidae. The transcript is spliced from 2 exons. The record is from RefSeq and is a predicted model, not a curated record.
ACUACAUCAGGAUGUAGUGAAGAAAUGUGCAUUUCUUAUAUAGUUUGAAGAGUCUUAUUAUGAGACUACCAGUGUCUUAAUAUGCCUACCAGCAUAUCUUGGGGGCUAUUGUUUACUUUAAGAUUAUACUACUAGUCACAGAGACAGGAAGUUCUUUGUUCUCCUCCACCUAUGUUCUGGGAGAAGCAAACCCCAGUCAUUCUGAAUGUCGAAGUGAUGCAGUAAGGUCCGAGUUACAUAACAUUGCAGCAGAAAGUUUUUAGUUAUUUUGUGGAACAAACUACAGGCCCAAUUCGAUUGUUAUCUGAAGGUUUACCGGAGAUAGUAAUUAACCUGAAGGUUUUACCGAAGAUAUGAAAGUGAAGUUACGAGUUGCUGAAUAAAACAGAAGUUGGUUGGACUUUA